This 1372-nucleotide ribosomal RNA is filed under the name uncultured bacterium. RNAcentral's name for it is "bacterial SSU rRNA". It matches the Rfam family "Bacterial small subunit ribosomal RNA", at positions 28 to 1381 of the family's 1533-position model. The record is from RNAcentral.
GAUGAACGCUGGCGGCGUGCCUAAUACAUGCAAGUCGAGCGAACGGACGAGAAGCUUGCUUCUCUGAUGUUAGCGGCGGACGGGUGAGUAACACGUGGAUAACCUACCUAUAAGACUGGGAUAACUUCGGAAAACCGGAGCUAAUACCGGAUAAUAUUUUGAACCGCAUGGUUCAAAAGUGAAAGACGGUCUUGCUGUCACUUAUAGAUGGAUCCGCGCUGCAUUAGCUAGUUGGUAAGGUAACGGCUUACCAAGGCAACGAUGCAUAGCCGACCUGAGAGGGUGAUCGGCCACACUGGAACUGAGACACGGUCCAGACUCCUACGGGAGGCAGCAGUAGGGAAUCUUCCGCAAUGGGCGAAAGCCUGACGGAGCAACGCCGCGUGAGUGAUGAAGGUCUUCGGAUCGUAAAACUCUGUUAUUAGGGAAGAACAUAUGUGUAAGUAACUGUGCACAUCUUGACGGUACCUAAUCAGAAAGCCACGGCUAACUACGUGCCAGCAGCCGCGGUAAUACGUAGGUGGCAAGCGUUAUCCGGAAUUAUUGGGUGUAAAGCGCGCGUAGGCGGUUUUUUAAGUCUGAUGUGAAAGCCCACGGCUCAACCGUGGAGGGUCAUUGGAAACUGGAAAACUUGAGUGCAGAAGAGGAAAGUGGAAUUCCAUGUGUAGCGGUGAAAUGCGCAGAGAUAUGGAGGGACACCAGUGGCGAAGGCGACUUUCUGGUCUGUAACUGACGCUGAUGUGCGAAAGCGUGGGGAUCAAACAGGAUUAGAUACCCUGGUAGUCCACGCCGUAAACGAUGAGUGCUAAGUGUUAGGGGGUUUCCGCCCCUUAGUGCUGCAGCUAACGCAUUAAGCACUCCGCCUGGGGAGUACGACCGCAAGGUUGAAACUCAAAGGAAUUGACGGGGACCCGCACAAGCGGUGGAGCAUGUGGUUUAAUUCGAAGCAACGCGAAGAACCUUACCAAAUCUUGACAUCCUUUGACAACUCUAGAGAUAGAGCUUUCCCCUUCGGGGGACAAAGUGACAGGUGGUGCAUGGUUGUCGUCAGCUCGUGUCGUGAGAUGUUGGGUUAAGUCCCGCAACGAGCGCAACCCUUAAGCUUAGUUGCCAUCAUUAAGUUGGGCACUCUAAGUUGACUGCCGGUGACAAACCGGAGGAAGGUGGGGAUGACGUCAAAUCAUCAUGCCCCUUAUGAUUUGGGCUACACACGUGCUACAAUGGACAAUACAAAGGGCAGCGAAACCGUGAGGUCAAGCAAAUCCCAUAAAGUUGUUCUCAGUUCGGAUUGUAGUCUGCAACUCGACUACAUGAAGCUGGAAUCGCUAGUAAUCGUAGAUCAGCAUGCUACGGUGAAUACGUUCCCGGGUCU